Molecule: long non-coding RNA, 1331 nt
Filed under: Homo sapiens (human)
Lineage: Eukaryota; Metazoa; Chordata; Mammalia; Primates; Hominidae
Description: HSALNT0048401
Source: RNAcentral
AGCAAUGAAAUCAGAAGAUUAAACAAGGUGAUUCUUGAUCAACUUGAUGAGGGCAAGAGGAAGCGUAGCAAAUCCAGCAAACAAAUAUGUGCAUGGAAAAGACCCCAGAUGGUCCUGUGGUUUCACUUCCUAUUUGGUUUCUGAACUCUCUGAGCACGAGACUUGGAGACGUGGAGUCCUUUCACUGCAGCUUUCAAAACCUUUCUUAGGGCUGAUAUGACAAUUGCUGGCACUGCGUAAUUGCUGUGUGGCUACUUGAAAACUUCUCCACUAGAGACUCACUGAGAGCACCUAUUCUGUUGAAUGGAUUUGGCACAAGGAGGAGGAGAGAAGACAAAUGGCCUGGGCUGAUUAGCCCAGAGACCAUGUCCCAACAAAAUGCCACCAGGAACUCAUGUGGGACGGAGCUGGAAGAUGCCAGCGGUUGCCCCUUCCCCAUGUUAGUGCCUCUUUUCUCCGCACCAACCCUCAGUUCACACCAGAAUGAGACUGCCUGCAUUCACUUUCUGCUCUUACUUCAGAGAAUGUGGCUUAUUCUCAGGCAAUGAACCAGAGGACAACAGACAUUUUCUUUGAGGGAAAUGCAACUUUUUGAAAUUAAAAGGGCAUUUUGUUUUAAUUGAAGAACAUUCAGAUCAGAAACUGGGUUAAAAAUAAACACUGCAGAGCCAGACACAGUGGCUCAGGCCUGUAAUCUUAGCAUUUUGGGAGGCCAAGGCAGGUGGAUCACUUGAGGCCAGGAGUUCAAGACCAGCCUGGCCAACAUGGCAAAAGCCAUCUCUACUAAAAAUAUAAAAAUUAGCAGGGCAUGGUGGCAUCGGCCUGUAAUCCCAGCUACCUGGGAGGCCGAGGCAUGAGAAUCGCUUGAACCUGGGAAGCGGAGGUUGCAGUGAGCCGAGAUCAUGCCACCACACUCCAGCCUGGGCAACAGAGCGAGACUCUGUCUCAAAAUAAAAUAAAAUAAAAUAAUAAGUAAACCCUGCAGAAUCUGAGAGAACAGAGCUCUCGAUGUGGGGGUCUGAUCAGUUUUCCAAGCGUCAACAGACUGGUCCUUCCUAGGAUGCGUGUUUCUUCUGCGGUCGUGUUUACACAUUGGUUUCUGGCAAGAGCAAAGUGUUUGCUUGUGACCUUAAAUAAAAUGCAGACAUCACCUCACUGAGUCUCAUCAAAAGCAGAACUUGUCCUCUCAUUCAUCUUUGUCAGACCAGCAGGAGCAGCCAGGCUAGGUCAUCCAGGGUGACAGUCUCCUUCUCCAUGGAGGUGAAGAUUUCAUCCUGCAUUCUGCUAAUCGGGCUUGGGCCCGCCUUAACCCUGUGAGUGGUUAACACUCC